AAUGAACGCUGGCGGCAGGCCUAACACAUGCAAGUCGAGCGAGCAUUUCGGUGCUAGCGGCGGACGGGUGAGUAACGCGUGGGAACGUGCCCUUUUCUGCGGAAUAGUCCUGGGAAACUGGGGGUAAUACCGCAUACGCCCUUUUGGGGAAAGAUUUAUCGGAGAAGGAUCGGCCCGCGUUGGAUUAGGUAGUUGGUGGGGUAAUGGCCCACCAAGCCGACGAUCCAUAGCUGGUUUGGGAGGAUGAUCAGCCACACUGGGACUGAGACACGGCCCAGACUCCUACGGGAGGCAGCAGUGGGGAAUCUUAGACAAUGGGGGCAACCCUGAUCGAGCCAUGCCGCGUGAGUGAUGAAGGCCUUAGGGUUGUAAAGCUCUUUCAGCUGGGAAGAUAAUGACGGUACCAGCAGAAGAAGCCCCGGCUAACUCCGUG
RNAcentral lists this ribosomal RNA (433 nucleotides) under uncultured bacterium. RNAcentral describes it as "partial 16S ribosomal RNA". It matches the Rfam family "Bacterial small subunit ribosomal RNA", at positions 29 to 507 of the family's 1533-position model. The record is from RNAcentral.